UGUUACUGAAGGGGAGGCUAUGAAGGCAAGCGGCCCCAGCCACUUACUUGAGCAGAAAGGUGAGGAGCUUGCAUCAUUUAAAAGCAAACGCUGGCAUUUUUAAGGGUGUGAUGAAGGGAACUAUCCUAAACUUUGUGGUAAGAUAGGAAGGCCUACACAAUGUGACUUUGGUGUCUGAUUGAGAGAAGCUGAUAUGGUGGUGGCGGCAGAGAGAGAGACAUACAGGCUUUUUGGGGGGGUCUCAUAGUGCCGAGGGCCUUCUGGUGGUUCCCUCGCGGCGAGAAGCCAAGUUACAGGGAACCAGGAAGAGGGCCUUCUCGGUGGUGGCACCUGCCCUGUGGAAUGCCCUUCCACCAGAUGUCAAAGAGAAAAACAACUACCAGACUUUUAGAAGACACCUGAAGGCAGCCCUGUUUAGGGAAGCUUUUAAUGUUUAAUAGGUUAUUGUAUUUUAGUGUUUUAUUGGAAGCCACCCAGAGUGGCUGGGGAAACCCGGCCAGAUGGGCGGGGUAUAAAUAAUAUAUUAUUAUUAUUAUUAUUAUUAUUAUUAUUAUUAUUAUUAAAGAAGCUGGACACAACAUCUGGAAUAGCUCAACUGGUAAACCAUGAGACUCUCAAGCUCAGAAUUGUGGGUUCGAGCCCCACAUUGGGCAAAAGAUUUCCGCAUUGCAGGGGGUUGGACUAGAUGACCCAGCGUGGGGCUCGAACUCACGACCUUGAGAUUUAAAGUCUCAUGCUCUACCAACUGAUACCACCUUGUACCACUUUCACACUGUUAUAAACUUUGUUUUGUUUUGUUAUGGUCUGAUGAGUAGGUACGAAUAAAUGAAUCUGAAUCAUCUAUAUGGAUAUUGUGGGAUGUGAAACACAAGAGCAGUCAAGUACAACAUUCCUAGAGUGAACAUGUUUACACAUGGGGAGGAAUGUUUGUCCAGCCAGCAGGUAAACUUCCUGUUUCCUUCUGGGCUGGGACAGACUUCCUCUGCAUGUGACUAGAGGUGGGUGUGGCCUCACCUGUGCAGGUAAUGACAAAAGCAUAGGGCGGGGCAACCAUCUCUCUCUCUCUUUUGACUAUAUGCAUUGAAGAAGCAACAUCUGCUUAGCCAAAGAUGCUCUCUUGGCUUCCAGCCAAGUGAGGACAAAGGGACUGUUUUCUUAUGAGAUAGUUUCUAGGUAUAUGUUACUUUUCUAAGCUAAGUCUGCCUUCUGGGAUCCUAUUGUGAACAGAAUGAUGUGUGAGUAAACCUUUUUACACUUUUAUAGAAGAAUGUGUCGUGUCUUAUCUUUUAUGAGGAAAUAAGGGGGAAAUACCAGAACAGUUAUUAUAGAGGCUUUAGCGCGCCUGAGCAAACACAUCCGCUGCAAGUUUAAAAAGGGGGAUGUUACUCUGCUAAAUUGUGAACUUGUUAACACAAGUUGGAAAGGCUAUAAUCGAACAAUAUAUCCUCUCCUGUAUCCCUGAACAUUCCCACAGAUAUAACAUAGGCUGGGAUCAAUUUCAUAUGUGCCACUUUAAAAGCUUUCAAGCCUUUCUCCCUCUAUUGGUGUGCAUGUGUGAAAGACAGAUACGCCAUUUUAAAUAGCCUUCUAUACCAGUGAUUGAUGGUGAUGCAGGAAAGUGAAUUUACAACUGCAUUUCAACUUCCCUGCACUUUUGGUACUGCCUGCGAACAGAUGUUUUCUAUCUGAAGCACAUUUUUUAGUCCUCCACCCAGCAUUCCCCCACCUCCUCCAGAAAUGUACACACUCAAGAAUGGUUUCCCCCACCCCCUUCACAUUUUGACCUCCUCUCUCCGUACAGAAGUGUCUCUCCUUUGGUUACAGUGAGCAAACAAGACUUGGUUCCCUUACAAAAUCCUCCUAGCUUUCCAUGACAGUGUUCAUGCCCUUAGUUGCACCCUUAGUUGCACUCACUUCAAUUUUCGGAGCUUAACUGAGGAGCCGAACUUUUGAAAAAGAGAUGGGAAAGCUGUGCCCUUCCCUGUGUUGUUGGACUCCAACUCCCAUCAGUCUCAGCCGGCAUGGCCAAGAGUCAGGGAUGAUGGGAGUUGUAGUCCAGCAACAUUUGGAAGGCCACAGGCCCCCCUUCCUGGUUUCGAAACAUUUACAGGGGAGAUUUGCAGAUCCUCCAAGUGUCCCUAUUUUCCAGGGACAUCGCUGAUUUAGAGAAGCCGUCCUGGUUUCUGAUUUGAUCCUGGAAUAUCCCGCUGUUCCAUAGGGUGUCCCUAUUUUCAUUGGAGAAAUGCUGGAGGGUAUGGUAAAGGUAAAGGGACCCUUGACCGUUAGGUCCAGUCGCGGACGACUCUGGGGUUGCGGCGCUCAUCUCGCUUUAUUGGCCGAGGGAGCCGGCAUACAGCUUCUGGGUCAUGUGGCCAGCAUGACUAAGCCGCUUCUGGCGAACCAGAGCAGCGCACGGAAACGCCGUUUACCUUCCCACUGGAGUGGUACCUAUUUAUCUACUUGCACUUUGACGUGCUUUUGAACUGCUAGGUUGGCAGGAGCAGGGACCGAGCAACGGGAGCUCACCCCGUCGUGGGGAUUUGAACCGCCGACCUUCUGAUCGGCAAGCCCUAGGCUCUGUGGUUUAACCCACAGCACCACCCGCGUCCCUUGGAGGGUAUGGUAGGAUGCCCCUAUUUUCACUGGAAGGUAUGGAGUUAUCUGACCCCCCAUGCCGCCUGAAAGCAACCCUGUACAGUGGUACCUUGGGACUCGAACGGCUUGGCUCCCGAAAAAAUUGGCUCCUGAACGCUGCAAACCCAGAAGUAAGUGUUCUCGUUUGCAAAUGUUUUUCAGAAGCCAAACAUCUGACACUGCUUCCGCUUGAGUGCAGGAAGCUCCUGCAGCCAAUUGGAAGCUGCACCUUGGUUUUCAAACUGUUCGGGAAUCGAAUGAACUCCUGGAACAGAUUAAGUUUGAGAACCAAGGUACCACUGUAUAGGGAAGGGUUUUAAAAAAAUGCUUUAUCAUGUUUUUCUAUAUUUCGGAAGCUGCCUAGAGAGGCUGGGGCAACCCAGAAAGAGAUGUGGGGUAUAAAUAGUAAAAUUAUCAUUAUGGAAUGGGAUGUCCCUAUUUUCAUUGGAGAAAUGUUGGAGGGUAUGGAUUUGAUAGGUGGGAGAAGGGUUAAGCACCCCUGCAAACUUGUCAGUUUUCGUCUGCAAAUGCUGCUUCCUGAAUUAUAAACAAAACAUUACAUUGAGGACCCUGCAUUUCCCUUGUAACAUCAUUGUACAUCUCCUCCUUGAAUAUAUUUUACAAUUAUAAGUUUCCCCUAUAAAACCUGUUUAGUUGAUUGACCAUGUUAAAUUAGCAAGAUUUCUCUAGAAGUCACAGUGGUACCUUGGGUUAAGUACUUAAUUCAUUCCGGAGGUCCAUUCUUAACCUGAAAUUGUUCUUAACCUGAAGCACCACUUUAGCUAAUGUGGCCUCCUGCUGCCGCCACACGAUUUCUGUUCUCAUCCUGAAGCAAAGUUCUUAACCCGAGGUACUAUUUUGGGUUAGCGGAGUCUGUAACCUGAAGUGUAUGUAACCAGAAGCAUAUGUAACCUGAGGUACCACUGUAUUUGAUUUUUCCCUUAGCAUCAGUGAAAGGAGAGGCUAAUGACCAAGAUUAGGCCACACAAAAAAGUAUUUUGGGGGGUGGUUGCUUUUCUAUAUCUUGCAGAUGUAGAGGAAUAAUUGCAUGCAAUCUAAAAUGGGGUGUGGGGUAACUGCCCCUUAUGCCCUCCCCAAGUAGUACCCCUCAUUUACAGCCCCAUUUUCCCUGUGCUAGGAUUCCACAUUCUUCAAGAUGUUUCAGGAAGUAUCUUACAGAUAGAAGGGUUGCGUGUGUGUCCUUUUAAACUGGUGGGUGGGUAAGGAAUCAUUCCACAAUAACAUUUGCUAUUCUGAAACAUUUCCACUGAUUCCCCAUGCUGACUGUUGGUGAAGGUAUUUGCAUGUGUUGGCAAAGUUAGCGGAGUCUUAAUUCCAUGCAUGUUUCUAACAUUAAAACUGUAUUUAUCUUGGAAAGAUGCAAAUGUUCUGUGUACUCAGUAAACAUAAGUGACCUCCUCAGUAUGGAAAAGGACUUGCAGUUCAGCAAACGUGUCAGAAUAAAACAGCAACCCCUUAAUGAUUUAUUUGGGCUUCCCAAAAAUUUCAAAUAAUGCAGGUAUUUUCCUGGAUGCCUUAGGAACUCCCCCAUUAUGCUUCUAUAUUUCUAAAUCAAUGGAUAGCCAGUAAAAUUCUAUAUGUAUCUACUCAGAAGUAACCCCUAUUUUAAUAUUGCGUCUACUUCUUGUUUUAUAAGCCACCCAGCAAAUGUGUGCAGCCAAAUGAACUCAGUAAAAAAUAAGCUUAACUAAAUAAACGGAGUCCAAUGGGAAUUUCUCCCAGGAAUGUUUGUAUAGGACGGCUCCCAUACUAUCCCUUUAUUUAGAACUAUGGAAGCUGAGAAUGGGGGAACAGAUAAGGUACACACACAUAUCAAGGCCAUUUCUCUCUGUGCACAAGAAAUAUACAGUGGUACCUCGGGUUACAUACGCUUCAGGUUACACACUCCGCUAACCCAGAAAUAGUGCUUCAGGUUAAGAACUUUGCUUCAGGAUAAGAACAGAAAUCGGGCUCCGGCAGCGCGGCAGCAGCAGGAGGCCCCAUUAGCUAAAGUGGUGCUUCAGGUUAAGAACAGUUUCAGGCAUAGCUGUCAACUUACAGAUAUGAAAAUAAGGGAUCAGCAGCCAAAAUAAGGGAUUUUAGUCAACCAGCAGCCAAACAAAGCCUCAAGUGGUGGUUCCCAUAGCGCAGCAACCCGGCAAAGGGGAUGCAGCAAGGAAAACCACCGUCACCUCUCUGCUGGGAAGCGCUGAGCAAAGGUGAGUCCCCAGGCAACGUGGCCAAUUUGAUUGGCACAUGGUAUGCAAGCUCCACCCCCCAGUCGUUCUUAGUCUCCUUAUUGGGUGAGCAAUGCAGCCAAGCAGCACACAGUUGGAGCCUCCCUCCUCCCUGGCCGGCAGGGAGGGAGGGAGAGGAGCUGCUUCCUUUGAAACCCGGGAAAUUUAAGGGACAUCAUCAAUAAGGGACAGCAGCGGGACACAGCGCUGGGAUAAGGGACUGUCCCGCCAAUUAAGGGACGCUUGACACCUAUGGUUUCAGGUUAAGUACAGACCUCCGGAACAAAUUAAGUACUUAACCUGAGGUACCACUGUAUCCUGUAAGAUAGCUGCCCGUGGAAUAUCCUCGAAUCUGUGAGCGCUUGGAAGACCUGCUUAUGGUGGGAAAAGCAGCAGUUCAGCUCUCAGAUAACUCCUUCAUGUGAAAUCCAGAGCAAGUUAACUGAGACUUUGCUUUCCCCCACCCUGAAAAAGGACCAUUGGCAGAUUUCCCACCAAAUACCCCCCACCACUUCCCAUUUUAUUUACUUAUUUUGUGGUCGCUCCUGUAUUGCAUGCUUCCUUCCAGUAACUCCGGCAGCCAAGCUGGUGCCACACGUAUUGCUCUGCUUUCCUUUGGAUCGCAUCAGUGGGGCCGAGAGGAGGGAAUCUUGUCAUCUGGGCAGCCCAGGGCCUCCCUACGCACUGCUCAGGCUUGCGUCCCCGAGAGGUCACUGUGGUGCUGCCAAAGCAGCAAAAGCAACUCAGGAGGCAGCAGUUACGAGUUAGCAGUCUCUGCAGCCACAGCAGGUGCUGUGAAUUGGUUUGACUUCAUCACCCCUGAAGUCACACUCCAUUGUCUCUCGAGACAGGUGGAUGCCAACAAUAGGUAGCUACUGCCAGUGUAGUGUAGUGGUUAAGAGCUGUAGUCUCGUAAUCUGGUGAACUGGGUUCACUUCCCCGCUCCUCCACAUGCAGCUGCUGGGUGACCUUGGGCCAGUCACACUUCUCUGAAGUCUCUCAGCCUCACUCACCUCACAGAGUGUUUGUUGUGGGGGAGGAAGGGAAAGGAGAUUGUUAGCCGCUUUGAGACUCCUUAGGGUAGUGAUAAAGCGGGAUAUCAAAUCCAAACUCUUCUCCCCUAUGGUGUUCCAGAAUAAUGCUAUUUACAGUGGUACCUCGGUUUUUGAACGCCUCCGUAGCAGAACGUUUCGGAACUCAAACGCCGCUUCCGUUUCGAGUUUCCCGUAUUGAGGCUUCGGUUUUGAGGCUUCUGUUUUCAGUUUCCGAAUGUUUCAGAACUCGAAAGGACUUCUGGAAUGGAUUACGUUCGAAAACCGAGGUACCACUGUACUACCACCCUUUUGCUCUUCCUCUUUCUCUCCCCACUCCCCUAAUUGUUCUCUGCUGCACCGUUGGCACUCUUAUUUUCCAUAAACUGCUUUGUUACAAUCAAGCAGUACAUAAAUCUUGUGAAAUAACUACGUUGUGCAACAAAUAUUUCAAGCUCCUUGGGGCAAGGAUCUGCCUUUUUGCACUGAUGGUGUAACAAGGUCACCGUUUUUCUGAACCUUAAUCCGUAGAUGUUCACUCCUUGUGUUCUAGGCUUACAGACACUGAAUGAGUGUUUGGAGAGAAAACGUAAGGAAACCACUGUAGCAGUUUCUGGGCUGUGCCCCUUAACCUACAUUGUAGGGUAAUUGUGAGGCCCUGAAAUGUCCUCACACGGAAGGCUGUGCAAAAGGUGAACGUGCCAACUGGGCUGAUUUCCUGAGCAAAAAAAAGAUCUUCUCUCUUCCAUUACAUUUACGAGGCCGUAGGGAAACACCCGUCAAUGCACACAUUAUAUUUCAUUAUGCAAAUAUAAAAAUCUUCCGGGUUUGUUGCCUGUGGAUGUUGGCAGGUAUGAAGGGGAUUUAAAGAAAUGAGGAAGUGGUUCUCACCAAUGAAGUAUAUUCUGGAUUGCUUGCCACCCCUCACCCUGCACUGUAUUUUAAAAAACGAACCGUAAACCCACUCAGGGUUUCGAAACAGCUGCAAGAAUUUGCAAGGCGUAGGCUUGUUUUGCCUCCCUGGCGUUUAUUCCACCAUCUUGCCCUUGGGUUUUUGCUGUGAGCAUUUCUUACCUAAGGUCUUGUGCAAGCAUUCAUUGCUUCCAUGAGAUGUAAUUGCCUUUUGGCAUUCUGCGAGAUUGGCUUUGCCAGAACGGUAUUGCAGCUUGAAUCCGUGGCUCAUGCGUUACUCCUCUGCAGGUUAACUGACCACCCCUUAGUUAGGAAUUGAAUUAAUUCAGAUCUGUAUGCUAGGCAAACGUGUUCCUAGAUGAUAUUAUUUGGAAACCAGCACAACAAGGGUAGCUGAACAGCCUGUGAUAUAGGUCGAAAAGAGGUACCAGAGCUAUAAUAAUAAUAAUAUAAUAAUAACAAUUUAUUAUUUAUACCCCGCCCUUCUGUCUGAAUUUCCCCAGCCACUCUGGGCACCUUCCAAUCGAGUGUUAAAAACAAUACAGCAUUAAAUAUUAAAAACUUCCCUGAACAGGGCUGCCUUCAGAUGUCUUUUAAAGAUAGCUGCUUAUUUCCUUCACAUCUGAAGGGAGGGCGUUCCACAGGGUGGGCACCACCACCAAGUAGGCCCUCUCUCUGGUUCCCUGUAACCUCACUUCUCGCAAUGAGGGAACUGCCAGAAGGCCCUUGGUGCUGGAUCUCAGUGUCCGGGCUGAACGAUGGGGGUGGAGACGCUCCUUCAGGUAUACAGGACCGAGGCUGUUUAGGGCUUCAAAGGUCAGCACCAGCACUUUGAAUUGUGCUCAGAAAUGUACUGGGAGCCAAUGCAGAUCUCUCAGGACCGGUGUUAUGUGGUCCCGGUGGCCACUCCCAGUCACCAGUCUAGCUGCCACAUUCUGGAUUAAUUGCAGUUUCCAGGUCACCUUCAAAGGUAGCCCCACACAGAGUGCUUUGUAGUAGUCCAAGCGGGAGAUAACUAGAGCAUACACCACUCUGGCAAGACAGUCCACAGGCAGGUAGGGUCUCAGCCUGCUUACCAGAUAGAGCUGGUAGACAGCCACCCUGGACACAGAAUUAACCUGCGCCUCCAUGGACAGCUGUGAGUCCAAAAUGACUCCCAGGCUGCGCACCUGGUCCUUCAGGGGCACAGUUACCCCAUUCAGGACCAGGGAGUCCCCCACACCCACCCGCCCCCUGUCCCCCAAGAACAGUAUUUCUGUCUUGUCAGGAUUCAACCUCAAUCUGUUAGCCUCCAUCCAUCCUCCAACAAUCCCCAUUGUUGCGAUGGGAGGGGUUGUGUGUGUGCCUUUUCUGUAUAUUGUAAGGACUGGUGCAAAUCCAGCUUGAAUCUCCACAUAAGACUAUCCUGUGUGAUCCAGUUCAGCAAAAGCCAGGACGUUCUGUACUGGGAGUGGGAGGCAACGUUUGCUUUCAUUGCAACAGCACCCUAAAGCACAGCUAUACCAAUUCCACAUAGUGGUGAAUGGUAUCCAUUCAGUUACGUGAAAGACAGUGAAGAGGUACACACAGAAACACUCCUGGGGUGUGGCUAAGUCAGCCCUCUGUGUAAACAGUAGUUAGGAGCACGAGCUGAAUGUUAGAAUCUCUUUUUUGCAACCUGAUCCUCUAUUCAGAAGGCACACUGAUUUUAUUCAAGCUUCCUUUGAGAUUACUGUCUCAGUCAAGUUAGAGUGUGACAAAAUGAAAAUGUUGGGUGUGUGCAUACAUCAGAGGUUAAGGGCCACUUUCCCUUCUGGGGAACCUCCUAGGUACCAUGGGCCAGUGUUAGGGUUGCCAUGUGCCCUCUUUUUCCAGGACAUGUCCUCUUUUUCAGGGGAUAAAAUUUGAGACAAAUUGCAUUUAUUUGCUUUGAAUGGCCAUCAUAGCGUCCUCUUUUUUUGCUCUUCAAAGUAUGGCAACCCAGGAUGAAAAAGUGGCCUCUUGGACCAUGCCCUUGGCCAGAGCCUAAUCUGUAUCAGAACGCUGCAAGGAGGCUGUAUUCUGCUGGAAAGACUGUAUACUACAACUCAGCUGGUAAGAUGCUUCUGGGACAACCACAAGCUGGACGUGAUAGAAUUGGCCAUUGUCUGUUGCUUCUCCCCCGGCUGAUACGUUUUAGGUCAUCUCCUCCUUGGAAGGUAAUGGAACAAGUCACCAUACAGCCCUAUAAGGGUCUGGUAGCCUUUGAGGAGCUGGCUGCGUAUUUCUCUAAGAAGGAGUGGUCUCUGCUGGGUCGUGACCAAAAGACUCUGUACAGGGGUGCAAAAGUGGAUAGAGCGAUGAAUGUAAAUUUAACUUUGUACGGUAGGCUAAUUUCUUUUCUUUUUUUGAAAUAAUUUUUAUUUGAUUUUGCAAGUGUAAGAUUAUAACAAUACUAAAUACAUAUCCCUAUUCAGAGAUUUCUCCAAAUCUCUAGACUUCCCACCUUCCCCUCCAUUGGUCCUAUUAUCAACCUCUUCAACUGCCCAUUAUUUCCUCGUCUAAAUUUUAUGUCUCUCCAUUUUGUCCAUAAUAAUUUCUAUAUGACAGUGGUACCUCUGGUUGCGAACGGGAUCCGUUCCGGAGGCCCGUUUGCAACAUGAGCAGAAUGCAACCCGCGUCUGUGCGGGUCGCGAUUCGCUGCUUCUGCGCAUGCUCGCGGCGUCAUUUUGCGCAUCUGCGCAUGCGCAAGUGGCGAAACCCGGAAGUAACCCUUUCUGGUACUUCUGGGUCGCCGCAGGAUGCAACCUGAAAACGCUCAACCUGAAGCAAACGUAACAUGAAGUAUGACUCUACAUGUGUUAUUGCAAUCCUGCUAUUGUUUUCAUCUGCUUACAGUGGUCUCUCAAGUAAAUUGAAAUUCCCCCCCAUUCUUUAUGAAAGUUUUGGUCUUCUUGGUUCCUGAGCUUUCCAGUUUUGCCAUUUCGGCGUAGUCCAACAGCUUAGUUUGCCAUUCUUCUCUGGUAGGGACUUUGUCUUCUUUCCAUCUCUGGGCAAUGGUAGGCUCAUUUCUUCACACACUCCUCUCUGUACUCCAGUCAGAAGAGCAAGAGGCGUCCAAGUUGAAGGACACAUUCAGACCAGCACCAGGGUUUGAAUUAUGGCUGCCUAGGGACAGUCUGGAGGGCUAGAUAGAGAGGCCCCUGCACCAGAGUGCCCCCACCCCUGGAUAUGCAUAGCUAAGUCACCCUGAGAUGAUACCAUGAAAUAGAACUGAACUUGGCUGGCAAAAAUAGAUCUUCUGACACACCAGCCACCUUACGCAAACAAGAAAACUGGCCCCCUUCCAUUGAGCCUGCUGUCGUCGGUCCUCCUUGCUUGCCUCCGGCACUUACAAAUGAUGUAAUGGGCUUGCCUUGUAUGACAAAAAGACUAAUAAUUAUGAUUAACAUCAGACAAUUAUCUUGGACCAAAGAGUCUUUCAAAAUAGGCCUAUCUCAUUAUGCUACUUAUUCUUAUUCUUUUUAAAACAGCUCAACAAGGUUCUAGUAUUCCUGUCAUCCCUGAUUGGCUAUACAGUAGUACCUCGGGUUACAUACUUCAGGUUACAGGCGCUUCAGGUUACAGACUCCGCUAACCCAGAAAUAGUACCUCGGGUUAAGAACUUUGCUUCAGGAUGAGAACAGAAAUCGUGCUCCGGUGGCGCGGCGGCAGUGGGAGGCCCCAUUAGCUAAAGUGGUUCUUCAGGUUAAGAACAGUUUCAGGUUAAGAACGGACCUCCGGAACGAAUUAAGUACUUAACCCGAGGUACCACUGUACUGGCUGGGGCUUAUGGGAGUUGGAACCCCAGCACCAUCUGUAGGGCCACAGGCUCCCUGAUCCUGGUCAGUAAUGAAAUAAAACCUCAGGCACAAUUUUUAUUUUUGAAGGGAACCGUCCACGAAAAGCCAGCUAUGAAUUUCGCUCUGCUAGCAGGAGAAGGUAGCAAGGCAGGUCAUUCCAUAACAUAUCAUAGGCUGGAAACAGAAGGAUGUUGGGUGAUAUUCUUUUUUCUUUUCUUUUAAAAGAUAUUUCAUGGUGUUUGAGCAAGGUCUGAGAAAACAUGCCUGCAAUGAGGCCUAAGCCAGAAGCCACAUUAAAAAAAGAAAAAAAGAAAACAAGCCCUCCAGAAUAUAAUUUUGGAAAACCUCAACAUAUUUUUGGAGGCAGGCUCAACUCGUGGUUUUGGAAUAUUUGAGAACAGCCGUGCUGCAGAUGACGGUUGUUUUCUUUUUUAUUUUUAAAUGAUAUUUAUUAAAGUUACAAAAAAUAAAAGAAAUACAAAAUACAGAAAAAAGAGUAAAAUUUUUUAAAAUAUAACAAAAAAGUAAAGAAUAAAAAAGAAACAUACAAAAUAAGACAAUUAAAAAGACAUUAAUUUUCCAAACCUAUCUUCUCUAGACUUAUUUCCCCGGACCUCCUCAUACCUCCCUUUUUUGUAUUCCAGUUCAGUUUGUUAGUUCAGCAAAUCCUUACCAUUAAACUUUUGCCCAAUUGUAAGCCUUUUUCAUAUCUCUUAAAGCAUUACAUGCUAAAAACUCUUAGUUUCUAUCCAACAUCCUUCUAAGAUUCACUUAAUUUUACAAUAUUUCUGUAAAUAGUCUUUAAAUUUCUUCCAGUCUUCUUUCACCGACUCUUCUCCCUGGUCUCGGAUUCUGCCAGUCAUUUCCGCCAGUUCCAUGUAGUCAAUCACCUUCAUCUGCCAUUCUUCCAGAGUGGGUAGAUCUCUAAAACCUUAGUUUUUAGCUUGUUCAGUUUAAAACCUGCCACCUGACCAAAUUCUUGAAUUAAUUCUAAAACUCUUUUAGUGCUAGAUUCUGGCUCCUGUAACGUCAAUACUAAAUCAUCUGCAAAUGCUCUCAGUUUGUACUGUUUAGCUCCGACCUGUAUACCUUUAACCAACCUGUCCUUUCUAAUCAUGUUUAGCAGAACCUCCAGGACCCAGAUGACGGUUGUUUUCAUUGGGAUUUUGUGGUACCUCCUGUUCUGCAUUCAGCUUUAAAGCAUAUGAUCCUAUAGGAAUUCCCCAUAUAACCCGUGAUGGUAUGCCUUUAUAUCUGCCUGCUAACCCCAACCCUCCCAAAUUCCAGCAUCAAAUUAGAGACCAAGUGUCAAGGAUAUAGGAGUGCCAUAGACUCCAGCAGAGCAGAAGUGGUGUGAAUUCACAUCGAGAAAUGUUUUGGAAGAUAAAUGAUUGGCAUGGACCCUGGGCAUUUUCUAGGUGGCAUUUGUUAGGUGAGAUUUUAACUUUGCCACUUCCUACCUUGCAACAUUCCCCCCACAUCCCCUAAAGCAUGCUCAACCUCAUCAGAACCAUUUGGAAUGUGGUAGAAUUCCUGUACUUUUAAUGAGGGUGAAAGAGGAGAGCGCAAAAUAUGGACUGAAGCUCAACAUCAAAUAAUCGAAGAUCAUGGCCACUGGUCCCAUCACCUCCUGGCAAAUAGAAGGGGAAGAAAUGGAGGCAGUGAGAAAUUUUACUUUUUUGGACUCCAUGAUCACUGCAGAUGGUGACAGCAGGCACGAAAUUAAAAGACGCCUGCUUCUUGGGAGAAAAGCAGUGACAAACCUAGACAGCAUCUUAAAAAGCAGAGAAAUCACCUUGCCAACAAAGGUCCGUAUAGUUAAAGCUAUGGUUUUCUCAUUAGUGAUGUAUGGAAGUGAGAGCUGUACCAUAAAGAAGGCUGAUCGCCGAAGAAUUGAUGCUUUUGAAUUAUGGUGCUGGAGGAGACUCUUGAGAGUCCCAUGGACUGCAAGAAUAACAAACCUCUCCAUUCUGAAGGAAAUCAGCCCUGAGUGCUCACUGGAAGGACAGAUCCUGAAGCUGAGGCUCUAAAACUUUGGCCACCUCAUGAGCAGAGAAGAGUCCCUGGAAAAGACCCUGAUGUUGGGAAAGACGGAGGGCACAAGGAGAAGGGGACAACAGAGGACGAGAUGGUUGGACAGUGUUCUCGAACCUACCAGCAUGAGUUUGACCAAACCGCGGGAGGCAGUGGAAGACAGGAGUGCCUGGCGUGCUCUGGUCCAUGGUGUCACGAAGAGUCGGACACGACUAAAUGACUAAACAACAACAACAGAAUUCCUGUGCAUGCUGAAAAUAUAUUCUGCAUGCACAAACUCAUACAUUAUACAGGCGUAUCUUGGAUCCCGAACGCCUUGCGAGUCAAACGUUUUGGCUCCCGAAUACUGCAAACCCAGAAGUGACUUUUCCGGUUUGCAAAUGUUCUUUGGAACCCGAAUAUCUGACAUGGCUUCCGCGGCUUCCAAUUGGCUGCAGGAGCUUCCUGCUGCCAAUUGGAAGCCGCUCCUUGGUUUCCGAACAUUUUGGAAGUCGAACGGACUUCCGGAACGGAUUCCGUUUGACUUCCGAGGUACCACUGUAUAGUGCAUUUCUAUCCAACUAAGGAGGGACGCGGGUGGCACUGUGGGUUAAACCACUGAGCCCAGGACUUGCCGAUCAGAAGGUCGGCGGUUCGAAUCCCUGUGACGGGGUGAGCUCCCGUUGCUCGGUCCCUGCUCCUGCCAACCUAGCAGUUCGAAAGCAUGUCAAAGUGCAAGUAGAUAAAUAGGUACUGCUCCGGCGGGAAGGUAAACGGCGUUUCCGUGCGCUGCUCUGGUUUGCCAGAAGUGGCUUAGUCAUGCUGGCCACAUGACCCGGAAGCUGUACGCCGGCUUCCUCGGCCAAUAAAGCGAGAUGAGCACCGCAACCCCAGAGUCAGUCACGACUGGACCUAAUGGUCAGGGGUCCCUUUACCUUUACCUUUAUCCCACCAAGGAACUCAAGAUAGCAUACAUAGCAACUCCCCGUUUUAUCUCCACAACACCCCUGUGAAGUAUCUUAGGCCGAGAAAUAAUGAAUGACUCAGGGUCACCCAGUGGACUUCAUGGGUGAGUGAGAAUUUGAACCUGAGCAGGCUUGGUGGCCACCGUCGUCCCUUCGUUGCUGCCCCAACCUCCUCUCCAGUUGCAAUACUGCUUCCACUUCCUCCAUCCACAUUGCAGGUGUUACCACGACUUCCUCUUCUCCUUCUCAGCGGUGUGACAUCUGUCUGUCAAUAGCAGGGUGGGAUGACAACAGAGAUGAGAUGGAGCUGUCCAACACCCAUUGAGAUUGGUGUGUGCUUGUGUUAGAAAGACACACAGAAGCCCCAUCCACUUCAAUGUCCUGUCCUACACUCUGAGAGCCAGUGUGGUGUAGUGGUUAAGAGCGGUAGUCUCGUAAUCUGGGGAACCGGGUUCGCGUCUCCGCUCCUCCACAUGCAGCUGCUGGGUGACCUUGGGCCAGUCACACUUCUCUGAAGUCUCUCAGCCCCACUCACCUCACAGAGUGUUUGUUGUGGGGGAGGAAGGGAAAGGAGAAUGUUAGCCGCUUUGAGACUCCUGAAGGGGAGUGAAAGGCGGGAUAUCAAAUCCAAACUCUUCUUCUUCUCUGCUACAUCUCUAUAGUACCAGUUACUUGUCAUCAAGGUCCUCUCCACACCAUGCAUUUAAAACACAAAGCUUCCCCACAAGAAACUUGGGAACUGUAGGAUGCUAGAACCAAGGAUGCUAGAAUUGUAGCUCAGUGAGAGGAGACUACAGUUCCCAUAAUUCUUGGGGGGGGGGGGAGCUGUGUGUUUUAAAUAUGCAUUUAAUAUCUUUUAAAUGUAUGGUGUGGGUGUGACUCAGCUCUGCUUGCUCUCAAACACAAAUCAGCCUAGGAACUCUGUGUAUUACAGUAAUGUUUUAACACAUGAUUUCUAUUAGCUUUCCUGUGUCAAGGGAACUUAACUCCUGUGUUGAAAAAAGGGGUGACCUUUCUAGAUCAGGGGAAGGAGAAAAGUAGCUAGUGAGAUAUUUCUGGGUGAUUUGCAGUAGAUCAGUCAGGUUUCUGUUUAAUGUGCACAAAUUUGCAAAACAUUUGUCUCUCAUUAAUAUAAUAUAUUUUGUGUGCCAUUUUCACUAAUUAUGAUAUAUGCCCAUUUUCACUAAUUAUGACACUUUGCCCUAAUAUACCCUAAUUUUUGUACAGCUUACGUGGCUGGAGAACUGCGUUGCAAAAUUUGGAGAAGUGCCAGUUUCAAAGAAUGGGUGUGUUUCGCUAAGUGUAUUGUGCAAUGUAGGUACGUUUUCUUUUAAAUGUGAACAGAAUGGAAUUUCUUCCCCAAUCCCUAGCCCUGUGGCAGCUGAGGCAAGGCAACAGAGUGGAAAGAGCACUUGUCUGAAAGCUUCAAGAGAUGUUAGGUCAGCUGAGCAUCCUUGAACCUGCAGUGCACCCUGAACAAGGAAUCAGGCCAUAAGCCAAGGACGGGGAAUCUGUGACCCUCCACAUGUGGUUGUACUCCAUCUCCCAUCAGCUCCAGCAAGCAUAGUCAAUGGCCAAGGAUGGUGGGAGCUGGAGUCCAGCAACAUCCCUGCAAAGGGAUAUCAGAUGGGGAUUCAGACUGUGACCUAGACCAGCAAGAAACAUAAGUCAUAAGCCAGAGUCUUAAAACCUUCCUGGGCAGAUUUAUCCAUUGCCAAUGAAGAGACUCUUGUUUAUCUGUCCUCAGCCAUCUUGCCUUGUCUUCACGGUCACCCAACUUGACAUAAACUUCAUGGAGGAUCAGCUACUAUCCAUGACGGCAAUGUUGUUCCUCCACUGUCAGAGGGAGUAUGUCUCUGAAUACCAUUUGCUGGGAAUCACAUACCUGAACUUACCUUUCAUGGCAACGGUCACCUCUCCAACAAUACCUGCUUUUGUAUUUUUCCAUGUUGCCACCCACAAAAGAAAUGCCUGUGUUAUGUUUCAGCUUAAGUGCAAGUUUAUGUUACUACCUUUUCGUUGGUAAUUAAUUGAAAAAAAUUAAUACACAAAUAUUUUUUUAAAAACCCAAUGGUGCUAUUGCACUCAGGUCCUGCUCAUAGGCAUGUGCAGAGGGUGUGUGUGGUUUCAUUUUAUGGAGUGGCAGCCCAGCCCCCUCAGCUGCCAGGAUCCUCCUGAGGACGAAUCACGGUUGUCCACAGUUGUGACCUUUAGAAAAAAAGGUUUACAGCCAUCAACGCUCAACCCUUCCCACCAUAACCCACAAAAUUUAGAUGUGGUGUUGUUCUUUAGUCGUUUAGUCGUGUCUGACUCUUCGUGACCCCAUGGACCAGAGCAUGCCAGGCACUCCUGUCUUCCACUGCCUCCCACAGUUUAGUCAAACUCAUGCUGGUAGCUUCGAGAACACUGUCCAACCAUCUCGUCCUCUGUCGUCCCCUUCUCUUUGUGCCCUCCAUCUUUCCCAACAUCAGGGUCUUUUCCAGGGAGUCUUUUCUUCUCGUGAGGUGGUCAAAGCAUGGGAGCCUCAGCUUCAGGAUCUGUCCUUCCAGUGAGCACUCAGGGCUGAUUUCCUUCAGAAUGGAGAGGUUUGAUCUUCUUGCAGUCCAUGGGACCCUCAAGAGUCUCCUCUAACACCAUAAUUCAAAAGCAUCAAUUUUUCGGCAAUCAGCCUUCUUUAUGGUCCAGCUCUCACUUCCAGAGAUGUGGUAGGUAUAUAGAAAUCUCUCACAUUUGGGCAGUCAAACCACAGAAGCCACAGAGCUGGAAAGUCAAGUUAUAGUUUGAUGGGGAAAAAAUAAUGUCCUUUAUGAUUAUGAGUAUGCAUUCAAUAAAUGUUUACCUUAAAAAAAUAUCUAGAAUGAAAUGUGCUUUGGGUGCCUCUAGCCUUGCUUGUGGGCUUCCCAUAGGCAUCUGUUUAGCCACAGGAUGUUGGAUGAGAUCGGUCUUUGGCCUGAUCCAGCAGGCUGUUCUUAACUGGGACUGAAACUGAGCAACAACUAGGACCCUUUAUAUUGCUUUCUGCAAUAUAUCUUCUUACUGCUCUGAUCCAGUUUCCUCCCCUUCUUCCUUUGAGCCAUGCUCAUGCAUGUGGCAUGAGCUCAGCCUAGAGGAGCAGCAAAGUCUUUCUUGUCUCUCAUUUAAAAUAAAAUGCAAAAAUUGACAGCUCACUUUAUCAUCUCAGUGUCUCCAGACCUUUCCCUCCCCGCCCCAUAUGCAAAGCAGAGAGAGGUUUGGCGGAGGACAGCCAGAGCUAACACACAAUGUGCCUGCAAAAAAAAAGAGGGCGAAGGCGUCUGCCAUCAAUUGCCUCCAUGGAUGGGAAAACAAGAAAUCUGCUCUCUUGACACCGGACCUGUAGGGGAAAUCGCAAAAAUAUACACCGCCGAGGGUUUUCUUUUCUCAAGGCUCAUCCAACCGCACGUUUAUGAGCAGAAAGGGACUACUUAGAAUAACACCAAGUAGCAUUAUAAACAUGCAAACUCAUAACAAGCAACCAGAUGCAAUUUUCACCAGCAUGUGAAAGUACCGCAAUAUCGUUUCCCCUUCAAUACACAGAGCCAAAUAAUCAGCCAUAAAUACAUACAUACAAAAAAAGAGUUAUAUACGGCCUCCUCGAGGGCAAGGCCACUCACUAUAAAUGUGAAGCUCCUUGCGGAGAUCACCAGGGUGGAAAGAAGACUGUCAGCCAUGCUAAAACUUCUCGCAAAGAUCUGUGCCAGAGGGGUGAGGGUGGGUGGGGGGACAUCCCAUGUCUCCUUGCUAAUCGUGGAAUGAGAUGGCAGCUGCUAGGAGCCUGUGCAGUUCUGACAUCUGCUGGAGAGAACCAGAGCUUCCCAGCCAUAUGUCAUAAACCCAAUAGGUCUGGUCCCUAAUGGGGAGUUGCUUUUUCCUCAAGCUCUCAACCAAGGUCACUUUUCCUGCUGGGGUGCUCUGUAAUUCUACCAUUCCACAUGAAGCAAAAGCAAAACAUUCUUCCCCUGGAAGAGAACCCCUGCCUGAUAAAUAUAUAUAUAUAUGCAUAUCUGAACAAAUGAGCUUGUUUCACACAGUUUGAAUUGCUAUAACCCUGAGUAGUUUUGCAGCUUGUGUUUUUUUUUAAUAACAAUAAAAUGUAAGACCUUUUGAUCUGCAGGAUUUGGGAUUAAAGGAAAUAAGGUUUAUGAACUAGGAAGAUUUGCAAGAGGGAACCAAAAGUUGUGGAUAAGCAAUUGGGUAAAGUGAAGAGGACUGAGCCCACAGAAGGCAAAGCAAUGGACAUCAUUAUUGUAAGGAUGGGGAAACUGUGGUUCUCCAGAUAUUGUUGGACACAAAUUCCAUCAAUCCCAACCAGCAUGGCCAACGAUUAGGGGUGUCAAGACCUAUGUGGAGGGCCAUAGCUUCCCCAUCCCUAGCCUAAAAAGUUAAAAUGGAGUAUUCUGAAAUACUUUUGGGGGUGGCAGUUGGGGGAGUAAAAAUGCACUUCAGAUAGAGCAGAUCUGUUCAUAGGAGAUACAAAAAAAAAAAAGACUGAAAUGAAAUUGGCACUGGCACUGGCAGGAAGAGGAGGAGGAGAAUUAAUGCUAUGAUCUAAAGGAAAGACGAGGGUGGUGCUGUGGUCUAAACCACUGAGCCUAGGGCUUGCCAAUCAGAAGGUCGGCAGUUCGAAUCCCCGCGACGGGGUGAGCUCUCGGUCCCAGCUCCUGUCCACCUAGCAGUUCAAAAGCAUGUCAAAGUGCAAGUAGAUAAAUAGGUACCGCUCUGGCGGGAAGGUAAACAGCAUUUCUGUGUGCUGCUCUGGUUCACCAGAAGCAGCUUAGUCAUGCUGGCCACAUGACCCGGAAGCUGUAUGCCGGCUCCCUCGGCCAAUAAAGUGAGAUGAGCGCCGCAACCCCAGAGUCGGCCACGACUGGACCUAAUGGUCAGGGGUCCCUCUACUUUUACCUUUAAAGGAAAGAGCCAGUACUUUAUACUGGAUUUCUGUUAGCAACAAAAACCCAGAACAGAGCAGAACUUUCUGACCCAAAAGUAUGUGCCAUGAAAAAUUGAAUUUUCAUGAUGUUGCGUUCUGUAGCUAUUGAUUAAAAAUAAACUAACCAGGUUCUCGCCUGGUUAAGACUGCCAGACUGGAGAACAUUCAUGCACCCUCUGCAUCAGGGGUAGUCAAUGUAGUGCCCUCCAGAUGUUGUAGACUACAGUUCCCAUGAUCCCUGAUCCUUGGCCAUGACAGCUGGGGCUGAUGGGAACUGCAAUCCACAGAAUCUGGAGGGUGCCAUAUUUGCUUCCCCUUCUCUGAAUUUUCCAAUGCCGUAAGAGGUAAAGUGCCCAUGGCCUCUCCUGUCCCUCCCCUCCCCAGCCCUGUCAUUUACCCUCCUCUGCAGCCUGCAAUAACUGAUGGGGUCUUCAGGUGUGCCAUACAUCAAGUUGGUGGAGCUAUGUUUGUGUGUGUGUGUAGCAACUGGGAAGCAACAGGCAAUGGAAUCUGUGACUGCCUUGUCCCCUGAUGCAUUGAAAGAUUUAAUGGUGUAUGGCUGUUUCCCGGCUUUGAAACGUAUUGCCUAGAAUAUACACAACCUUGAAUAUGACAUGAUGAAUAGAUGUGGGAAGAGCCAUUCAGCUCAGAGAAGUGUGGUGUUCCUAGAGAGAUCCAAGGAUGCUUUAAAGGCUCCAAAGAACAGGGGAAGAACAGGCUUUUGAUCUACACUGGAAAAUUCUGAGAUAAUUCAGCCCAAGUCCUAUGCCUAGGGUAGCAAAUGUGAUUCACUCCAGAUGUUUUUGGACUCAAAUUCCCAUCAGCCUGAGCCAGCAUGGGCAGUGGACAAUGAUGGGAACUGUAGUCUGUAAUAUCUGGAGGGCACCAUGUUGGUUUUCUCUGCCCCACACAGAAUGCAUCCCAUCUCUCAAAUGUAGACCAUUUAUCCUUUCUGUUUUGGGAUUUCUUACUGCUGCUGUGCAGAUGAGGGGUUCCACCCUGAGAGAAUGGAGAGGUGUGUGUUGCAAAGCUGGGAAUUGGUCCGGGAGUCCAAAGCCUCUGGCUCGAACCCCUUGCCUUUCCAUUGUCCCCUGGGCCAUCUGCCUGGGGCAACUGUUGCUGCACAUGUUUCCUUCUACAGUUUCAGCUGGCGAUGCAUGGAAAUUGCAUCUUCUUUGUCGGGAGAACAUGCAGGCUUGGGCAGCGGAUGAGACAAGAGAACUAUAAAAGCUGGAUAUUGCUCUGGUGUAGAAUCUUGGAAGUUUUUUUUUUGUCGUAUUUGAAAGAUCGUUUCAAGGACGUGGGGGAGAGAGAAAAUGAAAUAAAAAGUGGCUGGGCGGGUGGAGGGGGAAGAAGAGAAGCAACAACAGGCGGGAAACCAGCUGUGGAACAUCUGCAUUGUAUUACGAACAUGUGGAUCCCUUCAGACAAGUUGCACACUUCUGAAGGCUGCAAACAUUCAGAGGGUGCAAACAUUCACCCCACCCUAUCCCAAUGCAGGCGACAGCCCAGCUCUAUUAAAAGCAGCCGCCGUUAUAAGUAGCAGUUGAAAGGGUCUGGAUGGGAAUUCACCUUACUUAACACGGCUCGAUUUAGACUGGGGGUUUGGCAACGCAUCUCUACGAGAAACAAGCCUGUUCCCAAACUGAUGGUGUAACCAUUGCUAGAAGAUGAGAGGAUUUGACAGUUGUCUUGUUUUUGUCUGGUUGCGCCAGAAAAAUCACUUUUAUAAUCUGAUUAUUUAGAAUAACAAUGAAAUGUCUUUUAGUAUAGGGAAAUGUCACAAAGGGAAAAGGUGCCUGUCUGUAUCAGAAAUGGUAAAAUACAAUAGGAUGUGCUACUUAUUUGUCGUUAUAAGGAGGGUGUUUUGUUUUUAAGGAUUGGGUCAUUCUUUUCCCUGGAAGAUGCCAAGAAGUAGUGAUUUCAACGAUUCCUCAGAGAGAAACGAGAUUAAACAAUUGUUAGGAAGAGAUGCAAUGGAAAAGAUAGACUCAUUUGAAUUAAUAAGCACAACUAAAGGUUCCUUGAUUUCAGCCGUUCUGCUCUGUGUAGCAGUAGCAUUUGGAUAUAACCCCUAAUGUUUUUUUACUGGGUUCCCUAGGCAAAACAGCUCAUGGACUGUACCACUGCAGAAUAGAUGCUAGGGAUGGCUGAAUGCUCCUGAUAUAAUGUGUAUGGGGUUGUACAUAGAGAACUAGGUACAGUGGUACCUCGGGUUAAGUACUUAAUUCGUUCCGGAGGUCCGUUCUUAACCUGAAACUGUUCUCAACCUGAAGCACCACUUUAGCUAAUGGGGCCUCCUGCUGCUGCCGCACCACCGGAGCACGAUUUGUGUUCUCAUCCUGAAGCAAAGUUCUUAACCAGAGGUACUAUUUCUGGGUUAGCGGAGUCUAUAACCUGAAGUGUCUGUAACCUGAAGCAUCUGUAACCCAAGGUGCCACUGUAUAGAAGAGAAGGGAUUUUUUUGUCUAGUUUCCUCCCUGACAUUCUCCUUUUCCAAGUGUGUGUGAAUGAAUACUUAGUCACAGGGGAGCUUUCAGUCAUGCAAUCUACCAUUUGCCCCCAUAGUACAGUCCAGGAAGGGAGUGACAACAGGGCAAAUCAUUUGUUUAGAAAUUUGCUGAAUUUCGUUGUGCGCAUUCAGAGAUAAUUCCCAAUAUUUGUGAUGUUCUCUUUGUUUAAAAAAAAGAAAAGAAAAGAAAAGAAAAGUGUGGUUUAUAGGUUCAGCACCACUAAUCUGCCAAGCACAUGGUGCCCAACCAUUUACUGAUCUGUAACCCACAUAAUUUGGCGGAAUCCUGGGUCACAUCCCAAAGUGUCCCCUAGAUCUUUCCUGAGUGCAAACUACUGGGACAUUUUCCCAGGAUAAUGUAUGGGUAUAUCCAUACAACCUCCCCCUUCCAGACAUACCACAUGGAUACUUAAACAUCAGAGUAGCUUAAUGUGCUAUGCUUUGUUUUUGGUUUUUUUUAAAUGAUAUUUAUUAAAGUUUCACAUGAAAAGAGAGACAUCAAUAAGAACAGAAUUUAAAAGUAAAAAGAAAAAUACACAAUACAAAAUACAGAAAGAAAAAAAAGAAAAAACAGUUAAAAACAAUUCCAUCUUUUCAUCACUACUUUUAGAUUUACUUAUUUUCUGGACCUCCUCAUACCUCCCUCUUUUGUAUUCCAAUUCAGUUUGUUUGUCCAGCAAUUCCUUUCCCUCCUUUUUAAUCCCAAUCCUUAAUCUUAAUAUAAUAUAACAUUAAAUUUUUACCUAUUAAUAGCCAAUUUUCCAUUCUUGUAACCUUUUAAUCCUAAUCCUUAAUCUUGAUCUGUAUAUAACUUUAAAGCCUGUACAGCUAGAAACCACUUAAUUUCAAUCCAUCAUCACUCUAACAUUCUUUAAUUUUGCAAUAUUUCUGUAGGUAAUCUUUAAAUUUCUUCCAAUCUUCUUCCACCGACUCUUCUCCCUGGUCACGGAUUCUGCCAGUCAGCUUAAUGUGCUAUGUUAGCCCUGGAUGGCGAGCCGCUGAUCUGCCCAAAGUCCUGACGACGAGUAGUAGGUUGAAGAGUUCUGAGCAAACGUCAAGCAACAUGGGUGUGGCGCCCAAAUAUCAGAUUAUUUAUUAGUCCAUAGCUGAACAGCUUGAUGUGAUUAUCAAAACACUGUAACUUCCCACAGUCACGUAUUGGCUUCUGCAAUAGCACCAGGAAUACUCGAUCUUUAAUAUUUAAUAAUAUUUAGCAUUUAGAUAGGGCAUUUCAAGCGUUCACAUCCAUUAUGUCAAUAAUCUUUACAACAGCCCUUAAGGCACGAGCAGUGUUACAUCUCAGCAACUCUGAAGUAGGUUAGAAAUGAGAAAGAGUGACUGCCUUAAGCUCACCUGGUGAGCUUCAUGGCUGGAUGGCCUCACCAAUAUGCGCUAAAUGCUGUAUAAACUAAGCUGGUGCCCUCUCUUACCUGCCUCCCCAGAUGGUGUUGGACUACAACUCCCAUUAUCCAUGACGAUUGGGCACACUGGUUGAGGUUGUUGGGAGUUGUAGUCCAACAACAUCUGGAGGACAGCAGUUUGGAGGUGGCUGAUUUAACAUUCAUGAACACCACCCCGAAAAAAUUGGAGGUUAUUCUGACCCGCAAAAACAACACACUCCUGCCACAGGUAAAACAAGAGCAAUCAGCUCUGCUUGUCAGCCAUCUCCUUUAACUCAGAAAGGAUGUUAAAGGCAUAAAAACUGUUGUGACUCUAGUUGCUAAUCACAUUCAUGUGCCCAUCGCCACUCACCCAAUGUCCGCACACAUCAGCCCUCUUCGUACAUCUGGGUUGAACAUUCAUGCCCUAGAAUACCUGAAGGAGCGUCUCCACACACAUCGUUCUGCUCGGACACUGAAGUCCAGCUCUGAAGGCCUUCUGGCGGUUCCCUCGCUGCAAGAAGCCAAGUUACAGGGAACCAGGCAGAGAGCCUUCUCGGUGGUGGCACCUGCCCUGUGGAACACCCUCCCACCAGAUGUCAAAGAAAAAAACAACUACCAGACUUUUAGAAGACAUCAGAAGGCAGCCCUGCUUAGGGAAGCUUUUAAUGUUUAAUAGACUAUUGUAUUUUAAGAUUUUGUUGGAACCUGAGUUCGGAAAUAGGCCUAAGCACAAGUACUUCUCACUUUAUUGAUCAGCCAUGGAGGAUUCUGGUAGCCUGAAUAGAAAAGUGGGGUGGGAGACACACUAACAAAUAAAUAUGAGGGCUAUCAAUAGCAGGAUCUUGUCAGUAGUGAACACACAGGAUUCUCCUGAAGGAGGGGUGGAGAGUGGGCAAGAGAGAGAGAGAGGCUCAGUUGCCUUAGCCACUUGCACGGGCUUCUCUUGGUGUGGCAAUGCAGGCAGAGAAGAAACACAGAGCGAUUGUUUGGGGCCUCCAGAAAAUGCAUCCCUUCUCCCAAGCUUUUCUACCCAGUGCUGCUUGUGAGGUAUCCACCUCGGUCUAGUAAUUAUGAGGGUCAUAUUAAGGACCAGAGGCGGCACCCGUUGAGAUGAUCUCAUCUGAUGGAAUUUUCCAUUCUGACAUCAACAGACUUAGCGGCUACUGUGGGAUGGGCGUGUAAAGACCUGGUGUCUCAGACCAGCCACAAAUAUAGAAGCUUAGAGCUGGGUGGGGCUCUGAGGGUCAUCAAGUUAAACAUCCUCUGUCAGGCCUGAACUGCCUUGUAACAACAAAAGUUGGUUUAGCAGCCUCUUCUAAAAAGCCCUCUGAGGAUAUCUCACUGCUUCGACAGGCAACUCGCUCUACUGCCCAGUUGUUCUACUCUGAGAAUUUCAGAUGACUUUUGUGCUAUUUGAUUCCCCCACCCAAGCCACACUAUUGUAUCCAACCCCAUAGUGUUUCUUGGGGGUCAUUAAGGAACAGACAAAAAAAUUUCCUCUGUUUUCCUCAAUGUAGUUUUCUAUGCACAAACUGGUGUGAGUGCAUGCUUCCAACAGCCUUUUAAAGCCAUUCAAAAGUUUGAGUAUCUUCUAAGGCUGCAGUAAAUAUUCUUCUAUUUCGAUUCUUAUGCUGGAGCUCUUGAUUUUUCUGGGUGAUGGAGAAUAAGAAAUAUAUCCUGGAAAGCCCCUCAAUUGUGAAAAAUGUCAUAUAUAUAAAUCUGUUUUUAGUUCUAUUUCCCUUAUCAGUUGAUGCCUUAGCACAUGGGUAGGCAAACUAAGGCCCGGGGGCCGGAUCCGGCCCAAUCGCCUUCUAAAUCCGGCCCAUGGACAGUCUGGGAAUCAGCAUAUUUUUAUAUGAGUAGAAUGUGUCCUUUUAUUGAAAAUGCAUCUCUAGGUUAUUUGUGGGGCCUGCCUGGUGUUUUUAUAUGAGUAGAAUGUGUGCUUUUAUUGAAAAUGCAUCUCUGGGUUAUUUGUGGGGCCUGCCUGGUGUUUUUACAUGAGUAGAAUGUGUGCUUUUAUUGAAAAUGCAUCUCUGGGUUAUUUGUGGGGCAUAGGAAUUCGUUCAUUUCCCCCCAAGAAAUAUAGUCCACCCCCCCACAAGGUCUGAGGGACAGUGGACCAGCCCCCUGCUGAAAAAGUUUGCUGACCCCUCUGCAGCUUUCUGAUUCUUCCUUCUUCCUUCUGGACCAGAUGUUGGGACCAUCUUUGUGACCAAUUAGGGAUCACAGAGUGAUUGAGAUGAAGACAUGAUGCUCAUAUAGCCAACAAUAUCUGACUACAGGAUUAUGUCAGUGAUGGCAACAAAUGUCAGUUGAGAGAGGGGGUAGUUUUUUUGUGAAUCAGUCAUGUGGGUAGAUCCAGCCAAUUGGGGACCACACAGUAAAUGAGAUUAUGUGGCCUAGUGAUUACAUAGUCACGGGGCAAGAGAGGGCAAUGUAUGCCCAUAGACAAAUAUUUUGAUUACACUGAGCACCUUCAUAUUCACCACUUCUUCAUCCAAGAUUUCAAUGGAAAUGUUGACUUAGAACUGGAGCCACUGUGGAAUACUUUCUCUUACCCCUUAGAGGGUACCUUUUAAAUGAUCAUGGGUGCGUUCAUCUUAUAACGUUGCCAUUUAAUCAAUUUUUCUUCCGCGUUCACCAGGGAGAGUCUUUUCCGUUGUUUUUGUUUAGGAAAGCAUUCGCUGACGAUGGAGCCACUUGCUGCACAGAUGCUUUUAAUUUAUGUAGUUGCUGGGCUAGGGAGACUGUUGACUUUAUGACUUCUGUUUAAAGUGUUGAUUGUUUUAUAUGAUGAUUUUAUGACAUUUUAUGGAUGUUAUCAUUGGUGUGUUGCUUUGGGUGUCAUAUGUAUAUAUGCAUUUCUAUACUUUUGGGGGGGUGGGGAAUGGGAUGUGUUAAGUUUCAAUAGGCCAAAUUUGAUAAAUAUGCUGGGGUGCUGAAUUUUGCACCCAGUCCAAAAUUCUGCAUUCUGCAAGGUGCAGACACUGUAUUGGGGAGCAGAAGAAAGAGGAAGCUAUUGUCCUCCUCCUCUGCUUGUUGGUUUCCUGGAAGCAUCUGGGCUGGCCUCUUUGGUAAGUAGGAUGCUAGAAGGGAUGGGCUUUUCUUAUGUUCUUGUUAUUAUGUUCUUGUUCCUAACAGAUUCCUGCCUGUUCUUUCCUUUGCAGGGGUCCCUUCAUGUGUCUUUUUUUAUUGUGUGCCAUGAAGAUUGUGCUCAUGAUAUUGAGGCAGAGUGUGGUGUAGUGGUUAAGAGCAGUAGACUUGUAAUCUGGUGAACCGGGUUCGCCUCUCCGCUCCUCCACAUGCAGCUGCUGGGUGACCUUGGGCCAGUCACACUUCUCUGAAGUCUCUCAGCCUCACUCACCUCACAGAGUGUUUGUUGUGGGGGAGGAAGGGAAAGGAGAAUGUUAGCCUCUUUGAGACUCCUUUGGGUAGUGAUAAAGCAGGAUAUCAAAUCCAAACUCUUCUUCUUCUCUUCUUAACAGCUCCAGAUGCUGCCUGAUGAAAACUCUCCUCACAUCCAGAGCAUUCCUUGUUUCACCCAGCUGAUCUAAGCACUCAGUCCUGCAGUAGCGGGGCUGGGGGCUAAGUGAAUCUGACUUGCUUUCUGUGGUGUGAUUCCAUCUCCUGUGUGGAAAAACAAAGGUGCGUUCCAACAUCAUUGACCGAGAAGCCUUGCAAAAAUACUCAUUUUACAAGGAAUUAUGUUCUUUGGCUUAUCCCUCUAAGGGGCGAUGCCCUCCCUGUUCUCCUCCGCCCUUUUGACAUGUCUCCCAAAGAGUAAAAAUGAAAAAACAACAACACAAAAAACACCCCAUAAUAUUUCAUCUCUGACCUUCCAGUUUGCAGCCAAGAGAGACAAAACUGCCUUCCAUUUGUCUAGGCCAAGAGAACAGAACAUUAUAAAACCUUUUCAGACUUUAAAAAAGUUACUUUUUAAUAGUCACUGUGGGUUUUCAUUCCCUGCCUUUUAAAAAAUGAUCUUAAAAAAAAAAAGCCCCCCAAAUCUCACAAUCUCAAGGAGGUGAGGGUAGCCAUCUUUCUCUGCUGCCCAGCUCCCUUCCUUGAGAUUUGGACUGCAAAAAGUCUUUAACCUUCAGAUCCCAUUGAGUUUCUUCCAAGUUCGUAUUUAUGCCGCAUGUCAAGGAGUGCAGCCUCAUACCUUUAGAAUGACAAUGUAAGAUCAGUGCACAACCAUGCAAGUUCAUGUGUUUGCAAUUUACAGCCCUGCACUUCUUCACAUCGAAUUGCAUUUGCCAUUUUAUUGCUUGUUCACUCAGUUUGGAAAGAUCUUUUUAGAACUCUUCAUAAUCACUUUGUUUCAAUCGCUCUGAACAGUCUGGUGUCUCAGAAAACGUGUCUACCUCACUUUCCAAAUCUUGCUAAGCAGUUUACAAAACACAUGGACCCUCCCUUUUAUUGUUUUGCCCCUAGAAAUCAGCCCAUCUCAGACUUUGGGUACACCAAACAAAGGACCUGUGCUGGGCCCGGGCGGGUAACCCGUGAAACACGGUCCAGGUCUGGUCCAGAACCCGAAGGUUCCGCUGGGAGACAGUCUGACAGGGCCAAGGCAGGACACAAGGCAGGAAACCAGGCAAGGACAGCUACAGGAUCUCAGGCAGGAUCUAGCACACAGAAAUGUUGCUCCCGCAACCUGGGCCGGGGUCCGACAGCCUUUUAACUUUGUCGUGGUAAUGGCCGGAACUGAUCCCCCGGUGACUCACCUCCCUGUUUUGCCCGAAGGCGAGCACUCCUCCUGCGAGUACUCAGGUCUCUCCUUCUCUCAAACCUCAGUCUCUGCAGCACGGGAGACUUGGUGGGUUACUAGACCUAGAGGCCGCCUCAGCCUCCCCUGACCAAACCAGUAGUGGAGCAGUUGUAAGUAAUGGCCCAACUGCAGGCAACAAGGUAAUCCCCGCAUCUGGAGCCAGGGCAGGCUCGGGCCCCUGACUUGGCCCAGCUGGUGUUUGUUGCAGAGGAACCUGUUCAGACUGGGACUCUUCAGGAUCAGGCCCCAGACUUGGUUCAGAUGAUGCCUGAGGCAAAGGAUCCAGUGCAGACUGAGUCUCCUCUGGUUCCGAGUCUGAGCCCGAGUCCCAAGCCAUCACAGGACCCUCUCUUACUUAUUGCCUCACCCCAGGUGUGCUUAAUGCAUAAGGAUGAGAUUAUCCUGUUUUAUACUGCAGAUGGGUGGUUGUCUGUGCACAGGUGAGGUUGUGUUCCUGGAGCUCGGGACCAGCCCGCCCAUAAGGCAGACAGAAGGUGGAAGAAUCCCAGUGGGGUGGCAUCUCACUUCUGCCACCGGGGAAGCAGCAGCAGCAACAACAAGAAGAAGCAGGUUCUGGUGGGAGCUCACGAGAUUUUGCAGAGUCCUCGCAUGAUCUUGCAGGGCUCUGUGGGAGAACUUGCUGCUGCCGCUGCUGCCAUGUCCCUUCCCUUCUCGGUGCCGCCUCGGGUACCUCCCACUCCUCACAAAGAGAAAUAGCUGCAGAACUCAGUUUCUGAGUUCUGCAACCACUUUUCCCAUGGGGGUCUGUCCCUGAAACCCAGAAGCCACAGCAGCAGCCACACAACCCUGAGAAGCGAGGCUGUGGUGGUGAGGCAGCAAGGGGGCAGCAGCACUGCACUGUUUUGCCUCAGGUGACUGGGAGCAGCCACCAAGACCACAUAACACCGGUCCUGAAAGACCUAUAUUGGCUCCCAGUAUGUUUCCAGACACAAUUCAAAGUGUUGGUGCUGACCUUUAAAGCUCUAAAUGGCCUCAGCCCAGUAUACCUGAAGGAGCGUCUCCACCCCCAUCAUUCUGCCUGGACACUGAGGUCCAGCUCCGAGGGCUUUCUGGCAGUUCCCUCAUUGCGAGAAGUGAGGUUACAGGGAACCAGGCAGAGGGACUUCUCAGUAGUGGCGCCCUCCCUGUGGAACACCCUCCCAUCAGACGUCAAGGAAAUAAACAACUAUCUGAGUUUUAGAAGACAUCUGAAGGCAGCACUGUUUAGGGAAAUUUUUAAUGAUUGAUGUUUUAUCGUGUUUUUAAUAUUUUGUUGGUAGCUGCCCAGAGUGGCUGGGGAAACCCAGCCAGAUGGGCGGGGUAUAAAUAAUAAAUUCUUCUUCUUCUUCUUCUUCUUCUUCUUCUUCUUCUUCUUCUUCUUGGACAGGCUGCCCCUGCUGGUGAUAACUGACUGGCUGUUUCAUCUCCAGGAGAUGUGGUCUUGGAGUGCACCAGUGAAAGAAGCUCUCCAUUCUCACCCAUUUCUGGGUUGUAAAUUUAGUCCUGGACUUCAGCAUUGUCCUUGACAUCUUACCCCCGCCCACCCUGUUGCAGAAUUCAGCAAUCAGCCUGUUGACUGCCCCAGACAUGCCAAUUCUGGCAUGACUGCAUUGGCUGUCAAUUACUUUCUGGGCCCAUUUCAAAGUGCUGGUAGUGACCUCUUAAAGCCUUGUAAAGCUCAGGACCCCAACUGCUGCCUCACCCCACGUGAACCAAUGCAGGCCCUGUAUUCAUCACCCAAGAUGCUUCUCUGGUUGCCUUCUCCAAGGGAGAUGUAGAGGGUGGAGACACAAGAACAGGAGCUCGCAGUUGUGCCCGCCACUGGCAUGUGAGCCCCGCAAAAUGUGUCUGGAGGAGAAGGUUGUCCUCACGCCAAGAACGUUGCCUCCCUCGCCUGCCUGCCCUGUGCAGUGCUAAACUCUGUGUAGACUGUACACAAUAAAAGUUGUGACCAC
Podarcis lilfordi (Lilford's wall lizard) is the source of this 29157-nucleotide non-coding RNA. The record is from the annotation of a GenBank genome assembly. Lineage: Eukaryota; Metazoa; Chordata; Lepidosauria; Squamata; Lacertidae.